CCUACGGGGGGCAGCAGUGGGGAAUAUUGGGCAAUGGGCGCAAGCCUGACCCAGCAACGCCGCGUGAAGGAAGAAGGCUUUCGGGUUGUAAACUUCUUUUCUGAGGGACGAUAGUGACGGUACCUCAGGAAUAAGCCACGGCUAACUACGUGCCAGCAGCCGCGGUAAUACGUAGGUGGCAAGCGUUAUCCGGAUUUACUGGGUGUAAAGGGCGUGUAGGCGGGAUGGUAAGUCAGAUGUGAAAACUAUGGGCUCAACCCAUAGCCUGCAUUUGAAACUAUCGUUCUUGAGUGUUGGAGAGGCAG
RNAcentral lists this ribosomal RNA (305 nucleotides) under uncultured bacterium. RNAcentral's name for it is "bacterial SSU rRNA". It matches the Rfam family "Bacterial small subunit ribosomal RNA", at positions 338 to 660 of the family's 1533-position model. The record is from RNAcentral.